Molecule: ribosomal RNA, 720 nt
Filed under: uncultured anaerobic ammonium-oxidizing bacterium
Lineage: Bacteria
Description: bacterial SSU rRNA
Rfam family: Bacterial small subunit ribosomal RNA
Source: RNAcentral
GAGCACGUAGGUGGGUUUGUAAGUCAGAUGUGAAAGCCUUCUGUUCAACGGAAGAAUUGCAUCUGAAACUACAAACCUUGAGUGUAGGAGGGGAGAAUGGAACUUCUGGUGGAGCGGUGAAAUGCGUAGAUAUCAGAAGGAACGCCGGCGGCGAAAGCGAUUCUCUGGCCUAUUACUGACACUCAGUGUGCGAAAGCUAGGGGAGCAAACGGGAUUAGAUACCCCGGUAGUCCUAGCCGUAAACGAUGGGCACUAAGUAGAGGGAAUUACCGAUGUUCUCUCUGCCGUAGCUAACGCAUUAAGUGCCCCGCCUGGGGAGUACGGCCGCAAGGCUAAAACUCAAAAGAAUUGACGGGGGCUCGCACAAGCGGUGGAGCAUGUGGCUUAAUUCGAUGCAGCGCGAAAAACCUUACCGGGGCUUGACAUGGUAGAAGUAGGAACCCGAAAGGGUAACGAACGGUAUCCAGUCCGUAGCUAUCACAGGUGUUGCAUGGCUGUCGUCAGCUCGUGUCGUGAGACGUUGGGUUAAGUCCCCUAACGAGCGAAACCCUUGUUUUUAGUUACCAGCGGGUUGUGCCGGGUACUCUAGAAAGACUGCCGUCGUCAAGACGGAGGAAGGUGGGGAUGACGUCAAGUCAUCAUGGCCCUUAUGCCCCGGGCUGCACACGUGCUACAAUGGUCGGUACAAACGGAAGCGAAGCCGAGAGGUGAAGCGAAUCC